Callithrix jacchus (white-tufted-ear marmoset) is the source of this 4632-nucleotide non-coding RNA. The record is from RefSeq and is a predicted model, not a curated record. Lineage: Eukaryota; Metazoa; Chordata; Mammalia; Primates; Cebidae.
GCGGAGGCGCGGGGCGGGCGCAGGGGGGGGCCGGCCCCGCCCUUCCUUCUUCCCUCCCUUUCCCGGCGACCCCGCCGAGGCAGGUCCUUGGAGGCAGAUGUUCCAAGCAGCCAAGCCCAGGAAAGCCCCCUGCGCCCCACAGUCUGUCUCCAGCCCCCUUCCCCUCCCCCGCAGGCCUGGGGGCCUGCUGGGGGCCUGCUGGGCGCCUGCUUCCCCAGAGAUGCUAAUGAGUUUCAAUCUUAGGAGAAAACAUAUUGAGGCCUGCUGUUCCAUUCCUUUGUUUUACAGGUGGAGAAACGUGACCUGAGAGGAGAAAAGAUUGGCCCGGGGUCCUAAAGUAAAUCAGAGUCCAAGCAGCCUCCAGCUCUCAAUGCCCUGCCCGUCUGCUGACCACCCUGCAGACAUGGAUUUCCCACUGGCCGUGCUUCUGUUUCAGGAACUGGGAAUGAGGAAUUCCUGAGGUUUCCCGGUUUUCGGGGAGUGAGAAGGCUGAUGCAAGUGUCACCAGGCCAAAACCAAGGGGUUAGUAGGACCAGGUUCCUUAGGGGAGCCUCCAGGGAAAAGUCCACUUCUUCACUCACUCAGGAUCCUGAGGCCCAGAUUCACCCAAGGACACACAGCAAGUCAGUGAUGGCCCAGACUAACCCUGCUCUUCUGACUUUAACCAAUAUUUAAAGUCGGGCUGUAUACAUCUCAUGGCCCCAACCCAUGAGUCCUGAAGACAUUUUACUUCUUUUCAGCACCACUCAGAAACCAACAGAGUACAAGAAACACAGAAAAUGUUUGGGCUUCCCUGAGACCCACUUACUCAACUCUAGCCCUGAAGUCCUGUAGAAGGACACGACUUCCUGCCAGCCUGAGCGUCCACUCAUUAGUUUCUGGUGUGUCAAUAUCACAAUCUUCCUCAUCACUAAUCUUGCCUAGAGUCUUUCAUGGCAUCAGCCAAAGAGUGCUUCUCUCUAGAACUUUUCUGUUCUCAGUCUAAUAACGUGUCUGUUUAACUCAGGUCUGGAACCCUCAGCAAGGGCUGUGAGUCUCUCCGCAGAGUGUAAGUGCAGCUCCAGAAAGCACUGGCUCUCUCUGGAUGUCAGCCAGGCUGUAAACCAGACACUGGAGUCGGGGGCAGCAAUGGGGGCAAACUGGGAAACCAAAGUGGCAGUUCAGAAAGCCCCCCGGUUUCUGAGUUCUUCAAACGGUUCUUUAAAGCCAACCACUGUUUGCCUCGGUUGAGAAUCUGCUAAGCGCACUUCUGCUAAGCCAAAUAAGCCCGUGUUUGUCCCUUCAUUCAUUCCUCAGACAGGAUCCUGCAAAGCCAGCUUCUGUUAUGCACCAUAAAUCCAUACUUGUCUAAUAAUCCUCAAAGACCUUACACGGCUAAUCACUUUUCAAAUAUUUAUGAGCCCCAGAGAGGAGAUUUAUGUUAAGCUGCUUGGCAAGGAACAAUAGAGUGUACGGGCCUAGAGAACAUUCUGUUGAAACAAAUAUUGUCAAGACAUCAAUAUUUUUAUAGCAUUUUUCAUAAGGGACUUUUCACACCUGCUCAUUUCCCUAAUUAUCCCUGAGACUUUUACACUUUCAGAGAGAAUGAAAAUGGAAUUUUUUUUGAAAGAUCAUUAAUUUGAAAAAUUAGCUGCUAUAUAAAGAAAAAUACAUACUCAGGCACAGCCAUUACUAAAAAUAUAGUCUUGAGAUGGAUGCACAGGGAGAGAGAUACUAAGUUGUUAUGGCAACUAUCAUUCUAAUUACAAAGCUGGAGGGUUUUUCUCAUUCAUUACUGUGUUGAGAUGUGCUAGUUUAAAUGGCAAUGUCCUUUGUAAUGUCCUCAAUCUCAUUACUACGUAAUUACCCAUUUCAUAUUUAAUUUUCAGUAUGUCUGUUCUUAGUCCCAUGCCCUGUACAUUUGGCAUCUUUUGAUAAGCCCUAUUCUCAGUUCAUGGGUCCCUUUUACAGCUUGAUUCCUCUCCUUGCUAUUCCCUCCACUCUGUGGUUUCAUUUUCAAUUUGACCUUUGGGACACUUGCUUUGGCCUGAGGUAUUCCAUUUGUAAACAGUGAGACGCUGUUGUGAAAGCUCUUAAGAAACGGCAUGAACAGGCACCCGGGGAGACUCUGAGCACAGGAUACAUCGGAGCCUGCUGAGCAGCUUCGGAGACACUGCACUUCUCGGCAACCUACUAUGUGCAGGAUUAUUUACGGAAGUGAUCACAUUUGACCUUUUUGCUGGGUUCUCUGUUCGCACUCCCUCUGGGCUCCAGCCCUCUGGGCUCUCCUCUGUAUCUGGGAGGCUGAUCCUUAUAAAUUAGUCCUCUUGUCCUUUGGUUGCUGAUUGGGAUUGACCAAUGGAGAUAGGAAGAUGAGAAGGGGCUCUGGGUAUUUCCUCCCCUUUCCCCACACUUCCAUGCCCCCCACGCACUUUGGUCUCAGGGGUGGUGGCUACAUCUUUGGGCUUCCCUGAGACCCACUUACUCAACUCUAGCCCUUAAGUCCUAUGGAAGGACACGACUUGCUGCCAGCCUGAGCCUCCACUCAUUAGUUUCUGACAUUCUGGAGCUGCUCCUGUGGUCACUUAAUGCAUGAAGCCUAAAAGACAAGAAGCCAUCAUCUCCAUGGAGUUGAGAUUUGCAUGAAGAGGAACUCAAUGUGAGAAGCCAAGAAGCAAAGCAGAGGAAGAUGCUGCCCCAGCCCCCAGCCCCCCACCCAUCACUGCCACAUGGGUGAGGCUGCCAUGCUCUGGCCCAGAAUCAGAAGCAAGGGUUUGGAAGGUCUGAGCUCAGUCAUCUCUCUUCCUUUCCUCUCAGUCAGGGUACAGGGCUCUCUGAAACAGCAAUGCCAAAUGCAGGUGGUCCACAUACUCUCUGAGGCCCCAGGGCUGGGAGAGACCUCCCAUACCUGUAGUCCACUGUCAGGCAAUCGGACCCCAAAUCAGGGGUCUCACUGAUGUUUCUGCAAGAGAACAUCUCUGCCUCUCCCCACCAUACAAGAGACACUGAAGUUGGGAGGAUAGAGACUAAAAAUACAAUAAACUAUUAUAAACUUAAUGACUUUGAAAAUCUGAUGAAUACCUAGAAAAAUAUAAAAUGCUAGAGCUGACACAAAAAUAGGGAACCUGAAUAGACCAAUAAUAUUAAAUAAAUUAAAAUGGGAGUCAACCAAUCUUUAUUUUUAAAAAGCUCUAAACCAGGUGCAAUAACACACACCUAUAGUCCCAACUACUUGAGAGGCUGAGGCAAGAAGAUUGCAUACGCCCAGGAGUUUGAGGCUGCGGUGCUCUAUAAGCACGCCUGUGAAUAGCCACUGCGCUCCACCUGAGCAACACAGUGAGACCUUGUCUCAAAAUAAUUUUUUUUAAUUGGCCAGGAGUGAUGGUGUGCACCUGGUCUUAGCUCCUUGGGAGGCUGAGACAGGAGGAUUGCUUGGGCCCAGGAGCUUCAGGUUAUAGUGAGCUAUAAUUACACCACUGCAAUCCAGCCUGGGCAGCAGAGUGAGACCCUGUCCCAAAGGAAAAAAAAAAGUUCCAGAUCAUUUUUCAGUUUUCCAGUUGAAUUUCCUAAGCUUUUUAAAAAGCUGAUAUUCCCACCUUAUAGAAAGUAAUUUUUUUUCUUUUUUGAGAUGGAGUUUUACUCUUGUUGCCCAGGGUCAAUCAUGUGGUGCAACUUCCACCUCUCAGGUUCAAGUGAUUCUCCUGCCUCAGUCUCCCAAGCAGUUGGGAUUAUAGACAUGUACCACCAUACCUGGCUAAUUUUUUGUUUUUUUUUUAAUAGUACAGAUGGGUUUUCACCACAUUGGCCAGGCUGGUUUUGAGCUCCUGACCUCAGGUGAUCCUCAAGUCUCAGCCUCCCAAAGUAAUGGAAUUACUGGCACAAGCCACCGUACCCAGCCUGAAAGUUUUCUUUUACAGAAAAUAGAAAAAGAGGGGAAUUUACUUUGAUAAUUUUAUUAUGCUAAUGUAAUCUUAAUUCAAAAACCAGAGAAUGAAAUUAUUAAAAAGGAAUAUAAAAUAUUUAUUUCAUUAUAAAUAUAGACAUCAAAAAUCUUAAGUCAAAUAUUAGCUAAUUGAAUUUUAUUUUUAAAAUACAUAAAGUAUAAUUAAGUAGGCUUUAUUUCAGGAAUACAGAAAUGGUUCAACAGUAGAAAAUCUACCUAUAUAAUUUAUCCUAUCAACAGAUCAAAAGAAAAAAGUUGUGUGAUUAUCUAAAUCAAUGAAUUAUCUGAAUUAGAAAAGCAGUUCAUAAAAUAUAGCAUCUGUUUGAAGAUGUCCUGUACGAAUGGCAAGAUAUCUAUGCCCUUGCCUGGGGCAAAUGGAAUCAAAGAUUCAAGUCUGGCUGGGCAUGGUGGCUCAGCCCUCUAAUCCUAGCACUUUGAGAGGCUAAGGUGAGAGGAUCACUUGAGCCCAGAAAUUCAAGAACAGCCUGGACAACACAGUGAAAACUUGUGUCUAUAAAAAUAAAAAUGGAAUAGUGGCAUUUGCCUAUAGUCCUAGCUUCUCAGGAGACUAAGGUGGGAGGAUUGCUUGAGCCUGGGAGGUCAAGGCUGCAGUGAACCAAGAUUACACUAUUGCACUCCAGCCUGGGCAACAGAGCAAGACCCUGUCUCAGAAAAAAAUACUUAAUUCUUCCUUAACAGAUUAAUCUGUA